Molecule: long non-coding RNA, 696 nt
Filed under: Prunus dulcis (almond)
Lineage: Eukaryota; Viridiplantae; Streptophyta; Magnoliopsida; Rosales; Rosaceae
Description: sRNA ncRNA
Source: RNAcentral
AUGGUUUCUUCUUUGAAUUUCAAGCGUAAUAGGAUGGCCACUGGCCGCAGCAGAAUCCCCAGCAACUCCAUCCCUCAAGCUUUGUGUCCCGAUCCCAUCAUCAACCUCGCACAAAUGGCUGCGAUCAAGGCCAGAGAGGCUGCAGAAGCAUACUUCACGCUUCGACAUUUCGACCAUGCGAUCAUGCAGGCAAGGGCAGCCAAAGAGUUGUAUCCAGAGUUCCCUGGUAUGUACAACUACAUGGCUGCAUACCAAAUUCAUUCUGACGUAUCACACAAGAAAAACUGGUACCAUGUUCUUGGCAUCCCCAACCCUAGUGUUGCCGACUCGGAAGCCAUCAAGAAACAAUACAAGAGAUUGGCACUUGCCUUGCACCCUGACAAGAACGGAUCUAUUGCUGCCGAUGGUGCUUUCAAGUAUGUUAAAGCAGCCUGGGAUGUUCUCUCCGACCGUGCGAAAAGAGAGGCUUACGACAAGUCUUUAAGUCCGAGGUCUCAAGGGGCUCGUGGUUCCAAUAACAGCAAACCAGCGCAGCAGCAGAGGUCGAAUGCGUGUUCUCGCAAAAGGGCCGGCCCUGAUGCUAAUUCUACCGGAGGAGAUGGGAGUUUCUACAAGAAAACCAUUAAGAUUGUAAGAAAAUCAAAUCCGGGCCAAAGGGCGACUGUUGUGAUGUUAUCAGUAUGCCGGGUGGCUUAA